GAUGAACGCUGGCGGCGUGUUUAAGGCAUGCAAGUCGAAUGCACCUCGGGUGCAUGGCGAACGGGUGAGUAACACAUUGGUAACCUACCUCUGUCUCGGGGAUAACCUAGAGAAAUCUUGGAUAAUACCCGAUGGACUUUAAUCUCGUAUGAGUUUUAAAGUAAAAGUCCGCUGGACAGAGAGGGGCCUAUGUCUGAUUAGCUUGUUGGUGAGGUAAAAGCUCACCAAGGCUCUGAUCAGUAGCGGGGAUGGAAGUCUGAACCGCCUCACUGGGACUGAGACACUGCCCAG
This 291-nucleotide ribosomal RNA is filed under the name uncultured bacterium. Its description in RNAcentral is "partial 16S ribosomal RNA". It matches the Rfam family "Bacterial small subunit ribosomal RNA", at positions 28 to 334 of the family's 1533-position model. The record is from RNAcentral.